RNAcentral lists this ribosomal RNA (271 nucleotides) under uncultured bacterium. RNAcentral describes it as "partial 16S ribosomal RNA". It matches the Rfam family "Bacterial small subunit ribosomal RNA", at positions 524 to 794 of the family's 1533-position model. The record is from RNAcentral.
UACGUAGGGACCCAAGCGUUGUUCGGAUUUACUGGGCGUAAAGGGCGCGUAGGCGGCUUGUCAAGUCACUUGUGAAAUCUCUGGGCUUAACCCAGAACGGCCAAGUGAAACUGACAUGCUAGAGUGCAGAAGGGGCAAUCGGAAUUCUUGGUGUAGCGGUGAAAUGCGUAGAUAUCAAGAGGAACACCUGAGGUGAAGACGGGUUGCUGGGCUGACACUGACGCUGAGGCGCGAAAGCCAGGGGAGCAAACGGGAUUAGAAACCCUGUAGU